This 167-nucleotide ribosomal RNA is filed under the name uncultured bacterium. Its description in RNAcentral is "partial 16S ribosomal RNA". It matches the Rfam family "Bacterial small subunit ribosomal RNA", at positions 1334 to 1500 of the family's 1533-position model. The record is from RNAcentral.
GCUAGUAAUGGCAGGUCAGAAUACUGCCGUGAAUACGUUCCCGGGCCUUGUACACACCGCCCGUCACACCAUGAGAGUUGGGAAUACCCGAAGCCCGUGGGCUAACCGAAAGGGAGCAGCGGUCGAAGGUAGAAUCAAUGAUUGGGGUGAAGUCGUAACAAGGUAUC